RNAcentral lists this ribosomal RNA (468 nucleotides) under uncultured bacterium. RNAcentral's name for it is "partial 16S ribosomal RNA". It matches the Rfam family "Bacterial small subunit ribosomal RNA", at positions 28 to 507 of the family's 1533-position model. The record is from RNAcentral.
GACGAACGCUGGCGGCGUGCUUAACACAUGCAAGUCGAACGGAAAGGCCCUGCUUUUGUGGGGUGCUCGAGUGGCGAACGGGUGAGUAACACGUGAGUAACCUGCCCUUGACGUUGGGAUAACUUCAGGAAACUGGGUCUAAUACCGGAUAGGAGCUCCUGCGGCAUGGUGGGGGUUGGAAAGUUUCGGCGGUUGGGGAUGGACUCGCGGCUUAUCAGCUUGUGGGUGGGGUAGUGGCUUACCAAGGCUUUGACGGGUAGCCGGCCUGAGAGGGUGACCGGCCACAUUGGGCCUGAGAUACGGCCCAGACUCCUACGGGAGGCAGAAGUGGGGAAUAUUGCACAAUGGGCCGAAGCCUGAUGCAGCAACGCCGCGUGCGGGAUGACGGCCUUCGGGUUGUAAACCGCUUUCGCCUGUGACGAAGCGUGAGUGACGGUAAUGGGUAAAGAAGCACCGGCUAACUACGUG